This 480-nucleotide ribosomal RNA is filed under the name uncultured Lachnospiraceae bacterium. RNAcentral's name for it is "bacterial SSU rRNA". It matches the Rfam family "Bacterial small subunit ribosomal RNA", at positions 31 to 507 of the family's 1533-position model. Lineage: Bacteria; Bacillati; Bacillota; Clostridia; Lachnospirales; Lachnospiraceae. The record is from RNAcentral.
GAACGCUGGGCGGUGUGCCUAACACAUGCAAGUCGAGACGAAGCAAUUAAGAGGUAAGUUUUCGGAUGGAAUGUUAAUUGACUGAGCGGCGGACGGGUGAGUAACGCGUGGGUAACCUGCCUCAUACAGGGGGAUAACAGUUAGAAAUGACUGCUAAUACCGCAUAAGCACACAGAACCGCAUGGUUCGGGGUGAAAAGCCGAGACGGUAUGAGAUGGACCCGCGUCUGAUUAGCUAGUUGGAGGGGUAACGGCCCACCAAGGCAACGAUCAGUAGCCGACCUGAGAGGGUGACUGGCCACAUUGGGACUGAGACACGGCCCAAACUCCUACGGGAGGCAGCAGUGGGGGAUAUUGCACAAUGGGGGAAACCCUGAUGCAGCGACGCCGCGUGAGUGAAGAAGUAUUUCGGUAUGUAAAGCUCUAUCAGCAGGGAAGAAAAAAGACGGUACCUGACUAAGAAGCCCCGGCUAACUACGUG